GUUGAGGGUUGUUAGCUGGCUCUUAGAGCAUGUGCUCGCCCUUUCAAUUUUCUUACCACCUGUGCACCUUUUGUAGGCUGUGAUAUCUCUCGCUUAUGUGCGGUUCUGAGGGUUUGCGUUUUCUUAAACGCUACCCUUGCCUUCACAGCCUAUGUCUUUAUACACACGCAUGUUUAGAAUGUCUAUUGUAGGUCUAUUGACCUUUACAAACUUAUACAACUUUCAACAACGGAUCUCUUGGCUCUCGCAUCGAUGAAGAACGCAGCGAAAUGCGAUAAGUAAUGUGAAUUGCAGAAUUCAGUGAAUCAUCGAAUCUUUGAACGCACCUUGCACUCCUUGGUAUUCCGAGGAGUAUGCCUGUUUGAGUGUCAUUAAAUUCUCAAACCUCAGUUGGUUGUCAUGACUGAUCUUGAGGCUUUGGAUGUGGGGGCUUGCUGGCUUCUCAGAGGCUCAGCUCUCCUUAAAUGCAUUAGCGGUUACUGAUCCCCUUUCCUGGUGUGAUAGUUAUCUAUGCCUCGAGGGUGGUGAUCUAAUGUAUCAGCUUCUAACUGUCCUUGGACAACUUAUUGACUAUUUGACCUCAAAUCAGGUAGGACUACCCGCUGAACUUAA
The sequence is a ribosomal RNA, 612 nucleotides long. The stretch from base 218 to 371 matches the Rfam family "5.8S ribosomal RNA".